RNAcentral lists this ribosomal RNA (914 nucleotides) under uncultured crenarchaeote. RNAcentral describes it as "bacterial SSU rRNA". It matches the Rfam family "Archaeal small subunit ribosomal RNA", at positions 1 to 922 of the family's 1478-position model. The record is from RNAcentral. Lineage: Archaea; Thermoproteati; Thermoproteota.
UUCCGGUUGAUCCUGCCGGACCUGACUGCUAUCGGAUUGAUACUAAGCCAUGCGAGUCAUUGUAGCAAUACAAGGCAUACGGCUCAGUAACGCGUAGUCAACCUAACCUAUGGACGGGAAUAACCUCGGGAAACUGAGAAUAAUGCCCGAUAGAACACUAUACCUGGAAUGGUUUGUGUUCCAAAUGAUUUAUCGCCAUAGGAUGGGACUGCGGCCUAUCAGUUUGUUGGUGAGGUAAUGGCCCACCAAGACUAUUACAGGUACGGGCUCUGAGAGGAGUAGCCCGGAGAUGGGUACUGAGACACGGACCCAGGCCCUAUGGGGCGCAGCAGGCGAGAAAACUUUGCAAUGUGCGAAAGCACGACAAGGUUAAUCCGAGUGAUUUGUGCUAAACGAAUCUUUUGUUAGUCCUAGAAACACUAACGAAUAAGGGGUGGGCAAGUUCUGGUGUCAGCCGCCGCGGUAAAACCAGCACCUCAAGUGGUCAGGAUGAUUAUUGGGCCUAAAGCAUCCGUAGCCGGCUCUGUAAGUUUUCGGUUAAAUCUGUACGCUUAACGUACAGGCUGCCGGGAAUACUGCAGAGCUAGGGAGUGGGAGAGGUAGACGGUACUCGGUAGGAAGUGGUAAAAUGCUUUGAUCUAUCGAUGACCACCUGUGGCGAAGGCGGUCUACCAGAACACGUCCGACGGUGAGGGAUGAAAGCUGGGGGAGCAAAACGGAUUAGAUACCCGGGUAGUCCCAGCUGUAAACUAUGCAAACUCAGUGAUGCAUUGGCUUGUGGCCAAUGCAGUGCUGCAGGGAAGCCGUUAAGUUUGCCGCCUGGGAAGUACGUACGCAAGUAUGAAACUUAAAGGAAUUGGCGGGGGAGCACCACAAGGGGUGAAGCCUGCGGUUCAAUUGGAGUCAACGCCGGG